GCACAAUGGCAAUCAUAGGCUAUGUUCCCACCAUUUUGGGCCUCCUCAAGUGAUCUACUUGUAGCCGUCGUGGUGCAACGCUUGUAGCUGGCGGAGAUUGAUGCCAUGCAUCCACCUAGUCUGUCAUUUGCCACUCUUUCGUCAUGUUGUUCCUCGGCUAGGUCAGGCUCUUCACACAUUGCCCACUCCACUACUAUUUACAAUUUGACAUGUUUAAUAUUUCAAUGGAGGUCCACGAUCGCCGUUGGCAUCGCAUCAACAAUGGACGCAUC
Molecule: long non-coding RNA, 272 nt
Filed under: Hordeum vulgare
Lineage: Eukaryota; Viridiplantae; Streptophyta; Magnoliopsida; Poales; Poaceae
Description: long non-coding RNA (HVUL_LNC010935)
Source: RNAcentral